GAUGAACGCUGGCGGCGUGCCUAAUACAUGCAAGUCGAGCGAACGGACGAGAAGCUUGCUUCUCUGAUGUUAGCGGCGGACGGGUGAGUAACACGUGGAUAACCUACCUAUAAGACUGGGAUAACUUCGGGAAACCGGAGCUAAUUCCGGAUAAUAUUUUGAACCGCAUGGUUCAAAAGUGAAAGACGGUCUUGCUGUCACUUAUAGAUGGAUCCGCGCUGCAUUAGCUAGUUGGUAAGGUAACGGCUUACCAAGGCAACGAUGCAUAGCCGACCUGAGAGGGUGAUCGGCCACACUGGAACUGAGACACGGUCCAGACUCCUACGGGAGGCAGCAGUAGGGAAUCUUCCGCAAUGGGCGAAAGCCUGACGGAGCAACGCCGCGUGAGUGAUGAAGGUCUUCGGAUCGUAAAACUCUGUUAUUAGGGAAGAACAUAUGUGUAAGUAACUGUGCACAUCUUGACGGUACCUAAUCAGAAAGCCACGGCUAACUACGU
RNAcentral lists this ribosomal RNA (496 nucleotides) under uncultured bacterium. Its description in RNAcentral is "partial 16S ribosomal RNA". It matches the Rfam family "Bacterial small subunit ribosomal RNA", at positions 28 to 506 of the family's 1533-position model. The record is from RNAcentral.